This 250-nucleotide ribosomal RNA is filed under the name uncultured bacterium. Its description in RNAcentral is "partial 16S ribosomal RNA". It matches the Rfam family "Bacterial small subunit ribosomal RNA", at positions 524 to 773 of the family's 1533-position model. The record is from RNAcentral.
UACGAAGGGGGCUAGCGUUGUUCGGAAUUACUGGGCGUAAAGGGUGCGUAGGCGGUUCUUUAAGUCAGAAGUGAAAGCCCUGGGCUCAACCCGGGAAUUGCUUUUGAAACUAUUGAACUUGAGUAUAGGAGAGGUGAGUGGAAUUCCCAGUGUAGAGGUAAAAUUCGUAGAUAUUGGGAGGAACACCAGUGGCGAAGGCGGCUCACUGGCCUAUUACUGACGCUGAGGCACGAAAGCGUGGGGAGCAAAC